UCUACGGGGGGCAGCAGUGGGGAAUAUUGGACAAUGGGCGAAAGCCUGAUCCAGCCAUGCCGCGUGUGUGAAGAAGGCCUUCGGGUUGUAAAGCACUUUCAGUGGGGAAGAAAGCCUUGGGGCUAAUACCCUCGAGGAAGGACAUCACCCACAGAAGAAGCACCGGCUAACUCCGUGCCAGCAGCCGCGGUAAUACGGAGGGUGCGAGCGUUAAUCGGAAUUACUGGGCGUAAAGCGCGCGUAGGCGGUCUGAUAAGCCGGUUGUGAAAGCCCCGGGCUCAACCUGGGAACGGCAUCCGGAACUGUCAGGCUAGAGUGCAGGAGAGGAAGGUAGAAUUCCCGGUGUAGCGGUGAAAUGCGUAGAGAUCGGGAGGAAUGCCAGUGGCGAAGGCGGCCUUCUGGACUGACACUGACGCUGAGGUGCGAAAGCGUGGGUAGCAAACAGGAUUAGAUACCCUAGUAGUC
This 465-nucleotide ribosomal RNA is filed under the name Vreelandella stevensii. RNAcentral describes it as "partial 16S ribosomal RNA". It matches the Rfam family "Bacterial small subunit ribosomal RNA", at positions 338 to 795 of the family's 1533-position model. The record is from RNAcentral. Lineage: Bacteria; Pseudomonadati; Pseudomonadota; Gammaproteobacteria; Oceanospirillales; Halomonadaceae.